This 215-nucleotide ribosomal RNA is filed under the name uncultured soil bacterium. Its description in RNAcentral is "partial 16S ribosomal RNA". It matches the Rfam family "Bacterial small subunit ribosomal RNA", at positions 26 to 245 of the family's 1533-position model. The record is from RNAcentral.
AGGACGAACGCUGGCGGCGUGCUUAACACAUGCAAGUCGAGCGGUAAGGCCUUUCGGGGUACACGAGCGGCGAACGGGUGAGUAACACGUGGGUGAUCUGCCCUGCACUCUGGGAUAAGCCUGGGAAACUGGGUCUAAUACCGGAUAUGACCUGCUCUCGCAUGGGGGUGGGUGGAAAGAUUUAUCGGUGCAGGAUGGGCCCGCGGCCUAUCAGC